RNAcentral lists this ribosomal RNA (406 nucleotides) under uncultured bacterium. RNAcentral's name for it is "partial 16S ribosomal RNA". It matches the Rfam family "Bacterial small subunit ribosomal RNA", at positions 30 to 526 of the family's 1533-position model. The record is from RNAcentral.
AUUUAACGCUUGCGGCAGGCCUAACACAUGCAAGUCGAACGAGUGGCGGACGGGUUAGUAAUGUCUGGGAAACUGCCUGAUGGAGGGGGAUAACUACUGGAACCGGUAGCUACUACCGCAUACCAUCAGAUGUGCCCAGAUGGGAUUAGAUAGUUGGGGGGGUAACGGCGCACCAAGGCGACGAUCCCUAGCUGGUAUGAGAGGAUGACCAGCCACUCUGGAACUGAGACACGGUCCAGAAUCCUACGUGAGGCAGCAGUGGGGAAUAUGGCACAAUGGGCGCAAGCCUGAUGCAGCCAUGCCGCGUGUAUGAAGAAGGCCUUCGGGUUGUAAAGUAUUUUCAGCGGGGAGGCGUUACCCGCAGAAGAAGCACCGGCUAACGCCGUGCCAGCAGCCGCGGUAAUAC